CAGAAAUUUAAAAACUAAUAAGGCAACACUUCAUGGCUAUCUUGAUAAGGCCAAGCAAAGAAGGGAUUUUUGUGGCACCUUUUCGAUCAGUUUCACUUCUAGUUAUUAACUAAACACCGUAGAACUUUGUUACUUUGCAACCAGCCAAAUGCUUUAAAAUAAAAGAAACAAAAGAAUUUGGGCUAAAAAUAAAUAAAUAAACAGAACAAGAGACUCACCUUCCCAACCAAGAUUUCAUUAGUAUGAGGUCCAUAAACGUCAGCUGUG
This 267-nucleotide unclassified non-coding RNA is filed under the name Hevea brasiliensis (rubber tree). Lineage: Eukaryota; Viridiplantae; Streptophyta; Magnoliopsida; Malpighiales; Euphorbiaceae. The record is from RNAcentral.